GGAGGCCUAAGUACCCUAAAGGCACCAGAUCCCAUCUGAUCUUGGAAGUUAAGUAGGGUCAGUUCUGGCUAGUACUUGGAUGGAAGAUUGUCAACAAAUACCAGGUGAAGCAUGCU
RNAcentral lists this ribosomal RNA (116 nucleotides) under Anolis carolinensis (green anole). Lineage: Eukaryota; Metazoa; Chordata; Lepidosauria; Squamata; Anolidae. The record is from RNAcentral.